UUGGAUAACCGUGGGAAAUCUAGAGCUAAUACAUGCAGUUUAUUGGCGUAGUCGCAAGAUUGCGUCAAAGCAUUUAUUAGACUUAACCAUCUACUGUACGCAAGUAUAGUAAGGCGAAUCUAGAUAACUUUGCUGAUCGUAUGGCCCUGUGCCGACGACGUUUCAAUUGAGUUUCUGCCCUAUCAAUUUGUUGGUAAGGUAUUGGCUUACCAAGGUUGCAACGGGUAACGGGGAAUCAGGGUUCGAUUCCGGAGAGGGAGCCUGAGAAACGGCUACCACAUCCAAGGAAGGCAGCAGGCGCGCAAAUUACCCAAUCUAGACAGUAGGAGGUGGUGAAGAGAAGUACUUAGUGGUGGCCUAAUGGUCCCAACUAGGAAUGAACGUAAUUUAAGCAAUUCGAUGAGUAACUACUGGAGGGCAAGUCCUGGUGCCAGCAGCCGCGGUAAUUCCAGCUCCAGUGGCGUGAUUUAAAGUUGCUGCGUUUAAAACGCUCGUAGUUGGAUCACGCAGCAGCAUACAGUUACACAGAUUGGUUUAUUUGACGAUUUUCUUUCAAAGAUUAUUGAAUUUUGGCUGGUCUGUGUGUUAACGCUGUAUGCUGCUAUUUGCACACAAGUAUGGUAUUUGGCCUUUAGUGAGUCGAGUAUCAUGUCUUGUGGGGUGUGCCUUGAAUAAAACAGAGUGCUCAAAGCAGGCGAACGCUUUGAAUGUUAUAGCAUGGAACGAACAAACGUGUAUUUGCGUAUAUUUGAUAAGGUCGAGGGCAACUUUGACCUGUUGGAUAUAUGCAGCACCCGCCAAAAUACGGAUGUUGGUUUUCGUAUAAGGUGAUGAUUAACAGGAGCGGUUGGGGGCAUUGGUAUUUGGCCGCGAGAGGUGAAAUUCUUGGACCGGCCAAGGACUAACAGAUGCGAAGGCGUUUGUCUAGACCGUUUCCAUUAAUCAAGAACGAAAGUGGGAGGUUCGAAGACGAUCAGAUACCGUCCUAGUUCCCACUAUAAACUAUGCCGACCUGGGAUCAGUUUAGUGAUUAACAAGCACUAGGUUGGUCCCCCUGGGAAACCUAAAGUUUUUCGGUUACGGGGAGAGUAUGGUCGCAAGUCUGAAACUUAAAGGAAUUGACGGAAGGGCACCACCAGGGGUGGAGCCUGCGGCUUAAUUUGACUCAACACGGGGAAACUUACCUGGUCCGGACAUCGAAAGGAUAGACAGACUGAUAGAUCUUUCUUGAUGCGGUGAGUGGUGGUGCAUGGCCGUUCUUAGUUCGUGGAGUGAUCUGUCAGGUUUAUUCCGGUAACGAACGAGACCACUUUCUCCAUUUAAGAAACGGUAGCAGGGAGUUGGCUUGAAAUUGUUUCGGCAGUUUCGGGUUGAUUUUCGCAGAUAGAAUUGUUAAAUUCCAUGGAAGGGUGCUGAGGGGCAACCUGAGGUAUUUGACUGUGGAAGGAGAUGAUUUUUCCUAUCGUUAUGCAGUGUAAGGCAAAACCUUCACGCUGUCUUAUGGAGAGACAACAGGUUUAUAAAAGCC
RNAcentral lists this ribosomal RNA (1528 nucleotides) under Myxobolus wulii. Its description in RNAcentral is "SSU rRNA". It matches the Rfam family "Eukaryotic small subunit ribosomal RNA", at positions 139 to 1435 of the family's 1831-position model. Lineage: Eukaryota; Metazoa; Cnidaria; Myxozoa; Bivalvulida; Myxobolidae. The record is from RNAcentral.